This 1397-nucleotide ribosomal RNA is filed under the name uncultured organism. Its description in RNAcentral is "16S ribosomal RNA". It matches the Rfam family "Bacterial small subunit ribosomal RNA". The record is from RNAcentral.
UGAACGCUAGCGGGAGGCUUAACACAUGCAAGUUGAACGGUAACAGGUCCUUCGGGAUGCUGACGAGUGGCGGACGGGUGCGUAACGCGUAUGCAACCUUCCUUAUGCAGGGGGAUAGCCCAUGGAAACGUGGAUUAAUACCCCAUAUUAUUAUAGAUAUGCAUGUAUUUAUGAUAAAAACUUUGGUGGCAUAAGAUGGGCAUGCGUCUGAUUAGUUAGUUGGUAAGGUAACUGCUUACCAAGGCGAUGAUCAGUAGGGGUCCUGAGAGGGUUUUCCCCCACACUGGUACUGAGACACGGACCAGACUCCUACGGGAGGCAGCAGUGAGGAAUAUUGGUCAAUGGCCGCAAGGCUGAACCAGCCAUCCCGCGUGCAGGAUGACAGCCCUAUGGGUUGUAAACUGUUUUUCUACGAGAAGAAUACCCGCGACGCGAUUGUGGAUUGACGGUAUUGUAGGAAUAAGCAUCGGCUAACUCCGUGCCAGCAGCCGCGGUAAUACGGAGGAUGCGAGUGUUAUCCGGAUUCAUUGGGUUUAAAGGGUGCGCAGGCGGGGAUGUAAGUCAGUGGUGAAAAGCUGCCGCUUAACGGUAGUCUUGCCAAUGAUACUGCAUUUCUUGAGUAUGGAUGAGGUAGGCGGAAUGUGCAGUGUAGCGGUGAAAUGCAUAGAUAUUGCACAGAACGUCGAUUGCGGAGGCAGCUUACUAAGCCAUAACUGACGCUGAGGCACGAAAGCGUGGGGAGCGAACAGGAUUAGAUACCCUGGUAGUCCACGCUGUAAACUAUGUUCACUCGCUGUUUGCGAUAUACAGUAAGCGGCUAAGCGAAAGCAUUAAGUGAACCACCUGGGGAGUACGAUCGCAAGUUUGAAACUCAAAGGAAUUGACGGGGGCCCGCACAAGCGGAGGAACAUGUGGUUUAAUUCGAUGAUACGCGAGGAACCUUACCUGGGCUUAAAUGCAGGUUGCAUUACCGGGAGACCGGUAUUCCCUUCGGGGCUACCUGCAAGGUGCUGCAUGGUUGUCGUCAGCUCGUGCCGUGAGGUGUCGGGUUAAGUCCCAUAACGAGCGCAACCCUUACCGUUAGUUACCAUCAGGUAGAGCUGGGGACUCUGGCGGGACUGCCACCGUAAGGUGAGAGGAAGGUGGGGAUGACGUCAAAUCAGCACGGCCCUUAUGUCCAGGGCUACACACGUGUUACAAUGGCCGGUACAAAUGGCAGCUACCCUGCGAAGGGAUGCUAAUCCCGAAAGUCGGUCUCAGUUCGGAUUGGAGUCUGCAACCCGACUUCAUGAAGUUGGAUUCGCUAGUAAUCGCGCAUCAGCCACGGCGCGGUGAUACGUUCCCGGGCCUUGUACACACCGCCCGUCAAACCAUGGGAGCUGGGGGUGCCUGAAGUC